AUUGAACGCUGGCGGCGGGCCUAACACAUGCAAGUCGAACGCAUGGCGGACUGGUGAGUACUGUAUUGAAAAGUGCCUGAUGGACGGGUCUAACUACGGUAAACGGUAGAUAAUACCGCUUACCACCACUUGUGGCCACAUGGGUGUAGCUAGUUGGUUGGGUAACGGCUCACCAAGGCGACGAUCCCUAGCUGGGCUGAGAGGAUGACCAGCCACACUGGGACUGAGACACGGUCCAGACUCCUACGGGAGGCAGCAGUGGGGAAUAUUGCACAAUGGGCGAAAGCCUGAUGCAGCAACGCCGCGUGUAUGAAGAAGGCCUUCGGGUGGUAAAACACUUUUAGCGGGGAGGCGGUACCCGAAGAGGAAGCACCGGCUAACUCCGUGCCAGCCGCCGCGGUAAUUC
This 406-nucleotide ribosomal RNA is filed under the name uncultured bacterium. RNAcentral's name for it is "partial 16S ribosomal RNA". It matches the Rfam family "Bacterial small subunit ribosomal RNA", at positions 30 to 526 of the family's 1533-position model. The record is from RNAcentral.